Molecule: ribosomal RNA, 253 nt
Filed under: uncultured bacterium
Lineage: Bacteria
Description: partial 16S ribosomal RNA
Rfam family: Bacterial small subunit ribosomal RNA
Source: RNAcentral
UACGAAGGGGGCUAGCGUUGCUCGGAAUCACUGGGCGUAAAGGGUGCGUAGGCGGUUUUUUUAGUCAGGGGUGAAAUCCUGGAGCUCAACUCCAGAACUGCCUUUGAUACUGAAGAUCUUGAGUUCGGGAGAGGUGAGUGGAACUGCGAGUGUAGAGGUGAAAUUCGUAGAUAUUCGCAAGAACACCAGUGGCGAAGGCGGCUCACUGGCCCGAUACUGACGCUGAGGCACGAAAGCGUGGGGAGCAAACAGG